UCCAACUGCCAAAGCCACCAGAGCCC
Molecule: non-coding RNA, 26 nt
Filed under: Homo sapiens (human)
Lineage: Eukaryota; Metazoa; Chordata; Mammalia; Primates; Hominidae
Source: RNAcentral